GCGGAUGUGGCGGAAUGGCAGACGCAUCAGACUCAAAAUCUGACGAGCUUACACUCGUGCGGGUUCAAGUCCCGCCAUCCGCA
This 83-nucleotide transfer RNA is filed under the name Lachnospiraceae bacterium. Its description in RNAcentral is "tRNA-Leu". It matches the Rfam family "tRNA". From Rfam's summary of the family: Transfer RNA (tRNA) molecules are approximately 80 nucleotides in length. Their secondary structure includes four short double-helical elements and three loops (D, anti-codon, and T loops). The record is from RNAcentral. Lineage: Bacteria; Bacillati; Bacillota; Clostridia; Lachnospirales; Lachnospiraceae.